Molecule: ribosomal RNA, 329 nt
Filed under: uncultured eukaryote
Lineage: Eukaryota
Description: partial 18S ribosomal RNA
Rfam family: Eukaryotic small subunit ribosomal RNA
Source: RNAcentral
CCCUUAGAUGUUCUGGGCUGCACACGCGCUACACUGAAGGGAUCAGCGUGUUCUUUUCCUGGUCCGAAAGGAUCGGGUAACCCGCUGAACCCCCUUCGUGGUAGGGAUCGGAGCUUGCAAUUAUUCUCCGUGAACCAGGAAUUCCCAGUAAGCGCAAGUCAUAAGCUUGCGUUGAUUACGUCCCUGCCCUUUGUACACACCGCCCGUCGCUACUACCGAUUGAAUGGUCCGGUGAAGCGUUCGGACCGUGGCCUUUGGACGGUUCGCCGUCUGUUGGCUGCGGGAAGUUCGUUAAACCUUAUCAUUUAGAGGAAGGAGAAGUCGUANCA